CUCAUUUUCAAGCCCACCUACACAAAUCUUAUAUCAAAACGGUCAGCUAUCCCUGCUGCCACUAAACAUGUCCACGGCUAAGCCAUAGUCCUGAUAGUUUUCACAAUAUGACCAUUUGUUUGCAACUCACGCCGUCCAUUGACAUUCAUUGAAACUCCACUCUAGCCAGCUCAAACUUGAAGGGCAAUUUCUAAACUGCGACUGUGCCUUCAUUUUUAAUACUUCAGAG
Non-coding RNA from Pelobates cultripes (western spadefoot toad), 229 nucleotides. Lineage: Eukaryota; Metazoa; Chordata; Amphibia; Anura; Pelobatidae. The record is from the annotation of a GenBank genome assembly.